RNAcentral lists this transfer RNA (72 nucleotides) under Camelus bactrianus (Bactrian camel). It matches the Rfam family "tRNA". From Rfam's summary of the family: Transfer RNA (tRNA) molecules are approximately 80 nucleotides in length. Their secondary structure includes four short double-helical elements and three loops (D, anti-codon, and T loops). Further hydrogen bonds mediate the characteristic L-shaped molecular structure. tRNAs have two regions of fundamental functional importance: the anti-codon, which is responsible for specific mRNA codon recognition, and the 3' end, to which the tRNAs corresponding amino acid is attached (by aminoacyl-tRNA synthetases). tRNAs cope with the degeneracy of the genetic code in two manners: having more than one tRNA (with a specific anti-codon) for a particular amino acid; and 'wobble' base-pairing, i.e. permitting non-standard base-pairing at the 3rd anti-codon position. RNAcentral also lists the same sequence under 2 other names. The record is from Rfam by way of RNAcentral. Lineage: Eukaryota; Metazoa; Chordata; Mammalia; Artiodactyla; Camelidae.
GAGGGUUUAGCUCAGUGGUAGAGCUGCUAUUUAGCAGGCACGAGGUCCUGGGUUCAAUUCCCAGUACCUCCA